CCUACGGGAGGCAGCAGUGAGGAAUAUUGGUCAAUGGCCGGAAGGCUGAACCAGCCAAGCCGCGUGAGGGAUGACUGCCCUAUGGGUUGUAAACUUCUUUUAUAUGGGAAUAAAAUGUUCCACGUGUGGGAUUUUGUAUGUACCUUAUGAAUAAGGAUCGGCUAACUCCGUGCCAGCAGCCGCGGUAAUACGGAGGAUCCGAGCGUUAUCCGGAUUUAUUGGGUUUAAAGGGAGCGUAGGUGGAUUGUUAAGUCAGUUGUGAAAGUUUGAGGCUCAACCGUAGAAUUGCAGUUGAAACUGGCAGUCUUGAGUACAGUAGAGGUGGGCGGAAUUCGUGGUGUAGCGGUGAAAUGCUUAGAUAUCACGAAGAACACCGAUUGCGAAGGCAGCUCACUGGACUGCAACUGACACUGAGGCUCGAAAGUGUGGGUAGCAAACAGGAUUAGAUACCCGAGUAGUC
Molecule: ribosomal RNA, 460 nt
Filed under: uncultured bacterium
Lineage: Bacteria
Description: partial 16S ribosomal RNA
Rfam family: Bacterial small subunit ribosomal RNA
Source: RNAcentral